AGAGUUUGAUCAUGGCUCAGGACGAACGCUGGCGGCGUGCUUAACACAUGCAAGUCGAACGGAAAGGCCCUGCUUGCAGGGUACUCGAGUGGCGAACGGGUGAGUAACACGUGGGUGAUCUGCCCUGCACUUCGGGAUAAGCCUGGGAAACUGGGUCUAAUACCGGAUAGGAGCCAUUUUUAGUGUGAUGGUUGGAAAGUUUUUUCGGUGUAGGAUGAGCUCGCGGCCUAUCAGCUUGUUGGUGGGGUAAUGGCCUACCAAGGCGGCGACGGGUAGCCGGCCUGAGAGGGUGGACGGCCACAUUGGGACUGAGAUACGGCCCAGACUCCUACGGGAGGCAGCAGUGGGGAAUAUUGCACAAUGGGCGCAAGCCUGAUGCAGCGACGCCGCGUGGGGGAUGACGGCCUUCGGGUUGUAAACUCCUUUCGCUAGGGACGAAGCUUUUUGUGACGGUACCUAGAUAAGAAGCACCGGCUAACUACGUGCCAGCAGCCGCGGUAAUACGUAGGGUGCGAGCGUUGUCCGGAAUUACUGGGCGUAAAGGGCUCGUAGGUGGUUUGUCGCGUCGUCUGUGAAAUUCCGGGGCUUAACUCCGGGCGUGCAGGCGAUACGGGCAUAACUUGAGUACUGUAGGGGUAACUGGAAUUCCUGGUGUAGCGGUGAAAUGCGCAGAUAUCAGGAGGAACACCGAUGGCGAAGGCAGGUUACUGGGCAGUUACUGACGCUGAGGAGCGAAAGCACGGGUAGCGAACAGGAUUAGAUACCCUGGUAGUUCAUGCCGUAAACGGUGGGCGCUAGGUGUGAGGGUCUUUUCACGACUUUCGUGCCGUAGCUAACGCAUUAAGCGCCCCGCCUGGGGAGUACGGCCGCAAGGCUAAAACUCAAAGGAAUUGACGGGGGCCCGCACAAGCGGCGGAGCAUGUGGAUUAAUUCGAUGCAACGCGAAGAACCUUACCUGGGCUUGACAUACACCGGAUCGGGCUAGAGAUAGUCUUUCCCUUUGUGGCUGGUGUACAGGUGGUGCAUGGUUGUCGUCAGCUCGUGUCGUGAGAUGUUGGGUUAAGUCCCGCAACGAGCGCAACCCUUGUCU
Molecule: ribosomal RNA, 1090 nt
Filed under: uncultured Corynebacterium sp.
Lineage: Bacteria; Bacillati; Actinomycetota; Actinomycetes; Mycobacteriales; Corynebacteriaceae
Description: bacterial SSU rRNA
Rfam family: Bacterial small subunit ribosomal RNA
Source: RNAcentral